CCAUAUCCUAAUGCUCCAGAUGAUAUUUCCACAAUUUCCCUGUAACCAAAAAUACGCUUAAUCAGCUCAAAAUAUCCAAAUUAGCGAAGAUACGAAUUUUCGACCAAAUUAAGCAGAAUUCGGAAAACGGGGAAAUAACAGACAAUUAAACACAAUUCCCUGGUUUAUUUAACUAAAUAUGGUUCAAGAAAUAAUGACUCAUCACACACGUACACUCCCUCAUCUUAUCAUCUUUUCAUCUUAAAAUAAAAGAAAUGUUGUACGCAGUAGCUAUUUCUAAAUGAAGUCAAAGCACC
This 296-nucleotide long non-coding RNA is filed under the name Vigna radiata. RNAcentral describes it as "long non-coding RNA (VRAD_LNC012179)". Lineage: Eukaryota; Viridiplantae; Streptophyta; Magnoliopsida; Fabales; Fabaceae. The record is from RNAcentral.